GGACGAACCCUUGGAGAGAUCCAUUUUAGAAAUGGACGCCGAAGCGCAAAAGAGCGGUUAAUUUUUCAAUCGUUUUUCAAACGCUCAGGCAAAAGGACAGGGGCAAAAGA
This 110-nucleotide non-coding RNA is filed under the name Haemophilus influenzae. Its description in RNAcentral is "Glycine sequence". It matches the Rfam family "Glycine riboswitch aptamer". Rfam says of the family: This family represents the bacterial glycine riboswitch. Glycine riboswitches usually consist of two metabolite-binding aptamers domains with similar structures in tandem. Lineage: Bacteria; Pseudomonadati; Pseudomonadota; Gammaproteobacteria; Pasteurellales; Pasteurellaceae. RNAcentral also lists the same sequence under 1 other name. The record is from RNAcentral.